GUCUAUGGCCAUGCCACCCUGAACAGGCCCGAUCUCAUCUGAUCUCGGAAGCUAAGCGGGGUCGGGCCUGGUUAGCACUCGGAUGGGAGACCACCUAGGAAGACCAGGUGCUGUAGGCG
RNAcentral lists this ribosomal RNA (119 nucleotides) under Pteropus alecto (black flying fox). The record is from RNAcentral. Lineage: Eukaryota; Metazoa; Chordata; Mammalia; Chiroptera; Pteropodidae.